Molecule: ribosomal RNA, 253 nt
Filed under: uncultured bacterium
Lineage: Bacteria
Description: partial 16S ribosomal RNA
Rfam family: Bacterial small subunit ribosomal RNA
Source: RNAcentral
UACGUAGGGUGCAAGCGUUGUCCGGAAUUAUUGGGCGUAAAGAGCUCGUAGGCGGUCUGUCGCGUCGGUCGUGAAAACUUGGGGCUUAACCCUGAGCUUGCGGUCGAUACGGGCAGACUAGAGUGCUGUAGGGGAGACUGGAAUUCCUGGUGUAGCGGUGAAAUGCGCAGAUAUCAGGAGGAACACCGGUGGCGAAGGCGGGUCUCUGGGCAGUAACUGACGCUGAGGAGCGAAAGCGUGGGGAGCGAACAGG